UCUAUGCUUAAGCAAUAGGUCGCUG
Molecule: non-coding RNA, 25 nt
Filed under: Mus musculus (house mouse)
Lineage: Eukaryota; Metazoa; Chordata; Mammalia; Rodentia; Muridae
Source: RNAcentral